Long non-coding RNA from Canis lupus familiaris (dog), 782 nucleotides. RefSeq lists it as uncharacterized. Lineage: Eukaryota; Metazoa; Chordata; Mammalia; Carnivora; Canidae. The record is from RefSeq and is a predicted model, not a curated record. The transcript has 3 exons.
AUCGGAUGUGGGACUGGAGCCCAGGACCCCAGGAUCACCACCUGACCCAAAGGUCAGAUGCUUCUCAGAGUGUUUUGAGGCAGCCAUGUGAUAAGACAACAGAAUGUGUGUGGAAGUGAGGAGUGCUACUUCUACAUCUCGUACUUUAAAAACUCCCACCAUUCUCUAUGUUCUCCCACGACUUCAUCUGCCACCCAGAUACAGAAGACUACGGGAGGACUCCAGAGCCGAGGAUGUGACUCACUGGGUAGAAGGAACCUGGGUCCUAACACCCCAUGGAAGAUGACCCUCUCCUUGCCUUUGAACUUGAUGCGAAUGAAAAAAUGAUCUAUUAUGUUAAGCCACAGAACCUUUUGGGAGAGGGGGUAUAUUUUUACAACAGUACUCCAUUGAACGGUCACUCAACUAUUUAUUCAUACUUAUGUCACAUCUGCAACUGUGGUUAAAUCCAACUCUCUGUCUUCCUGUCACUGAGCAGAAGCUGCUGAGAACAGUUGAAAAAAAUUGCAAUUGUACAGAUCAGGGCAUGGUGAGGUCAUGGCCUCCACCCUCAGCAGAGCCCUCAGAGCUGUGCACCAGUUCAACUGUGUUGCUCUAGGCCACUAGUUCAUUCUUUAUUCUUUGAAAGUCUCUGAUGCUAGAUACUCACCAGUGCUUUACUUUCUCCAUUUUAUGGAAAGCAGAAUCCAACAGAGCUCUUACUGAACAUCCUGCUAUUGAACAUAGAAAUUUACUUGCAUUCACGCUUAUCCUUUUGCCCUUCCAUGCAGUUACAAUAAAAU